CCUACGGGUGGCAGCAGUGAGGAAUAUUGGUCAAUGGACGAGAGUCUGAACCAGCCAAGUAGCGUGAAGGAUGACUGCCCUAUGGGUUGUAAACUUCUUUUAUAUGGGAGUAAACUGUUCCACGUGUGGGAUUUUGUAUGUACCAUAUGAAUAAGGAUCGGCUAACUCCGUGCCAGCAGCCGCGGUAAUACGGAGGAUCCGAGCGUUAUCCGGAUUUAUUGGGUUUAAAGGGAGCGUAGGUGGAUUGUUAAGUUAGUUGUGAAAGUUUGGAGCUUAACCCUAAAAUUGCAGUUGAAACUGGCGGUCUAGAGAGCAGUAGAGGUAGGCGGAAUGCGUGGUGUAGCGGUGAAAUGCUUAGAUAUCACGCAGAACUCCGAUUGCGAAGGCAGCUCACUGGACUACAACUGACGCUGAGGCACGAAAGUGUGGGUAUCAAACAGGAUUAGAUACCCGAGUAGUC
This 460-nucleotide ribosomal RNA is filed under the name uncultured bacterium. RNAcentral's name for it is "partial 16S ribosomal RNA". It matches the Rfam family "Bacterial small subunit ribosomal RNA", at positions 338 to 795 of the family's 1533-position model. The record is from RNAcentral.